Molecule: non-coding RNA, 116 nt
Organism: Sorex fumeus (smoky shrew)
Lineage: Eukaryota; Metazoa; Chordata; Mammalia; Eulipotyphla; Soricidae
Product: small Cajal body-specific RNA 23
Exons: 1
Source: RefSeq, a predicted model, not a curated record
CUGCUCAUCAGGGCAUGGUACUCUCCAUGUGGUCCUGACCUGCCUUUCAUUAGCAGAAGAAACUGGUUUGGGGGUACCCUAAGUGGGCGUAGGAGAUCAUGGUAUUCAGUACAAUG